UGUUCUGGAAGAGAGGUGAGACACUGGAGCUGCAGUGUGAAACUUAUCCUGUUUGGGGAAAAGUGUUUUGGGACCUUUUGGAAACUGUUUUCUGCACAAUUACCUCUGAGCCGGAGGAUUAUUUAUCCAUAGAGGUGGAUGGCCUAGUAGCAAGGACCAGCUACUAUAUGCUGCCCUAAAAACUGAGGGACUAAAGUGUAGCCGCUUCUGAGAAAGCACAGGGAUUCUACAAAAGACUCAUUCACUUAUAACUAAACCUACAGAAGGAAUGCUUUAAUGCAAGAUAACGGAUGUAUAAAGCCCAGCUCGGUGUGCAUAAAUUGACACAAGUUGCACCUCUGAUGGAAAGAACAACAGAAGGAAUUUUGACCUGAUAUUUCCUACCGUUAUCUCCAGGAGAAUUUAACCUUGGAAAGUCUCAUAGAAAGGAAUUCCCCACGUGUCACUGUGGAGUACUGGGACACAUCUAACUCCCACUGAACUGUGGUCUGAUUGAAGAAACCACAAGAAGGAAGGCAAGAAGAUUUGCUGAUGUUAAAGGUCCCAGAGGAGUGCAGAAACAGAGCGGGUUUUUUUGUUUUUUUUCUAAGGUGCCAACCAUGUUUGAGGAGGUGUAGCGUCCCCUAGCCUUAUUGAAAACCGGCCUAUGCUCCACAUUACAUGACUGACUGGCUCAUUGAGCAAACUUUCCUAUUCUGUGCAAGUGGUAAGAACUGCAGAAAAUGAAAAGGAGCCAACAGUGCACUGGUCGAUGAAAUUUUGAAAAUGGACAGAUCAUCUUUCAAACAGGACUGAACUAUAGUUUAUUGUAACCGAACCGAUUUCUUACAUAUAUGCCCAGUUAGUUGGUCAGUAUGGUUUAAAUUGGUCCUACUUCCGGACUAAAUUCAGGCAUGUACUGUAUAGCCAAGUUUAGAGUAAUUGCCACAACAGUUGCUUUUAGAGGCAAUGAGCUGUGAGGAGGUGACAUUCUGAGCUCAUUACAUUUUAGCAAGUGAAAAAUCUUAUUAUGGUGCUUUCUCCUCCCUUGUAAACAUACUGCAAAUAUGCAAUGAACCAAGAACUCUUUAGUGAGAGAAAUGCAUUCAGUUUCAAUAUUAUCCCUUUUAUUAAAAUAUCUGCUUAGAUAAAAUUAAUGUAGUUCAUUGCUUUACUAUUUCCUCAGUAUGCAUUCUAAGCUCAUUUCUAUUAAUGUGGCCCCAAAGUAACUAAUGAUCUUCAUCUUGCUAAAUCUCUAUUAUUCAGAUUUAUCUUUGACCUUUCAGCACUAUUUAACACCGCCGACCAUAGCCUUCUCCAUCAUAUACUCCAUUCAGCUGGGACAGGAUAUAAAGCCUCUUUAUAGUUUUACUCCUCCUUAUUACAGCAGUCCUGAUAAGUCUAUAAAUUUUCCUCAUCCUAUAUAUACAUAUAUAUUUUUUUUUUGACCAAUGUACAAUUUCUUUCUAUAUUCUGGGGACUGCAGCUGUCUAUGUUAGAUAAACCCUAAAAACUACACAUGGUAAUUGUUCGUUGGGACAUUAAGGCCUCGGGGGGCAUGAAUAGGGUUGGAAGACCAUAACUGUUUUUAAUCCUCUCUAUAUUAAGGAGCCUGUGGCUGAGGGCAGUUACAAAUCAACAUGAAUCAACUCUGCGUUAAAGCCAAUACUCUCUAUUACUGUGGUAUAAUUGUCCGAAGUUUAGCAAAGAAUUUCGUUCAUUCUCCUUUUGUAGAUAUGUGCUCUUUCAUUAAAUAAACAUGCAUGAUAAGGUACUAA
This is a long non-coding RNA of Xenopus tropicalis (tropical clawed frog), 1757 nucleotides long. RefSeq lists it as uncharacterized. The record is from RefSeq and is a predicted model, not a curated record. The transcript has 4 exons. NCBI's taxonomy places the organism in Eukaryota, Metazoa, Chordata, Amphibia, Anura, Pipidae.